GGUUAAGCGACUAAGCGUACACGGUGGAUGCCCUGGCAGUCAGAGGCGAUGAAGGGCGUGCUAAUCUGCGAUAAGCGCCGGUAAGGUGAUAUGAACCGUUAUAACCGGCGAUACCCGAAUGGGGAAACCCAGUGUGAUUCGUCACACUAUCAUUAACUGAAUCCAUAGGUUAAUGAGGCGAACCGGGGGAACUGAAACAUCUAAGUACCCCGAGGAAAAGAAAUCAACCGAGAUUCCCCCAGUAGCGGCGAGCGAACGGGGAGGAGCCCAGAGCCUGAAUCAGCAUGUGUGUUAGUGGAAGCGUCUGGAAAGGCGCGCGAUACAGGGUGACAGCCCCGUACACAAAAGCGCAUGUGUUGUGAGCUCGAUGAGUAGGGCGGGACACGUGGUAUCCUGUCUGAAUAUGGGGGGACCAUCCUCCAAGGCUAAAUACUCCUGACUGACCGAUAGUGAACCAGUACCGUGAGGGAAAGGCGAAAAGAACCCCGGCGAGGGGAGUGAAAAAGAACCUGAAACCGUGUACGUACAAGCAGUGGGAGCACAGGUUUACCUGUGUGACUGCGUACCUUUUGUAUAAUGGGUCAGCGACUUAUAUUCUGUAGCAAGGUUAACCGAAUAGGGGAGCCGGAGGGAAACCGAGUCUUAACCGGGCGUUAAGUUGCAGGGUAUAGACCCGAAACCCGGUGAUCUAGCCAUGGGCAGGUUGAAGGUUGGGUAACACUAACUGGAGGACCGAACCGACUAAUGUUGAAAAAUUAGCGGAUGACCUGUGGCUGGGGGUGAAAGGCCAAUCAAACCGGGAGAUAGCUGGUUCUCCCCGAAAGCUAUUUAGGUAGCGCCUCGUGAACUCAUCUCCGGGGGUAGAGCACUGUUUCGGCUAGGGGGCCAUCCCGGCUUACCAACCCGAUGCAAACUGCGAAUACCGGAGAAUGUUAUCACGGGAGACACACGGCGGGUGCUAACGUCCGUCGUGAAGAGGGAAACAACCCAGACCGCCAGCUAAGGUCCCAAAGUCAUGGUUAAGUGGGAAACGAUGUGGGAAGGCCCAGACAGCCAGGAUGUUGGCUUAGAAGCAGCCAUCAUUUAAAGAAAGCGUAAUAGCUCACUGGUCGAGUCGGCCUGCGCGGAAGAUGUAACGGGGCUAAACCAUGCACCGAAGCUGCGGCAGCGAACGUAUCACCCAAGACAACUUUGCGGAGUUGACGAUUGACGGAGCGAAGCGACGUCAAAGCGUUCAUUAAAGUCGAGUUGGCUUAGGGAUACGUUCGUUGGGUAGGGGAGCGUUCUGUAAGCCAGUGAAGGUGUGUCGUGAGGCAUGCUGGAGGUAUCAGAAGUGCGAAUGCUGACAUAAGUAACGAUAAAGCGGGUGAAAAGCCCGCUCGCCGGAAGACCAAGGGUUCCUGUCCAACGUUAAUCGGGGCAGGGUGAGUCGACCCCUAAGGCGAGGCCGAAAGGCGUAGUCGAUGGGAAACGGGUUAAUAUUCCCGUACUUGGUGUUACUGCGAAGGGGGGACGGAGAAGGCUAUGUUGGCCGGGCGACGGUUGUCCCGGUUUAAGCGUGUAGGUGUGUGUUCCAGGUAAAUCCGGUUCACUUUAACACUGAGGCGUGAUGACGAGGCACUACGGUGCUGAAGUAACAAAUGCCCUGCUUCCAGGAAAAGCCUCUAAGCAUCAGGUAACAUCAAAUCGUACCCCAAACCGACACAGGUGGUCAGGUAGAGAAUACCAAGGCGCUUGAGAGAACUCGGGUGAAGGAACUAGGCAAAAUGGUGCCGUAACUUCGGGAGAAGGCACGCUGAUAUGUAGGUGAAGCGGUUUACCCGUGGAGCUGAAAUCAGUCGAAGAUACCAGCUGGCUGCAACUGUUUAUUAAAAACACAGCACUGUGCAAACACGAAAGUGGACGUAUACGGUGUGACGCCUGCCCGGUGCCGGAAGGUUAAUUGAUGGGGUCAGCGCAAGCGAAGCUCCUGAUCGAAGCCCCGGUAAACGGCGGCCGUAACUAUAACGGUCCUAAGGUAGCGAAAUUCCUUGUCGGGUAAGUUCCGACCUGCACGAAUGGCGUAAUGAUGGCCAGGCUGUCUCCACCCGAGACUCAGUGAAAUUGAACUCGCUGUGAAGAUGCAGUGUACCCGCGGCAAGACGGAAAGACCCCGUGAACCUUUACUAUAGCUUGACACUGAACAUUGAGCCUUGAUGUGUAGGAUAGGUGGGAGGCUUUGAAGUGUGGACGCCAGUCUGCAUGGAGCCGACCUUGAAAUACCACCCUUUAAUGUUUGAUGUUCUAACGUGGACCCGUGAUCCGGGUUGCGGACAGUGUCUGGUGGGUAGUUUGACUGGGGCGGUCUCCUCCUAAAGAGUAACGGAGGAGCACGAAGGUUGGCUAAUCCUGGUCGGACAUCAGGAGGUUAGUGCAAUGGCAUAAGCCAGCUUGACUGCGAGCGUGACGGCGCGAGCAGGUGCGAAAGCAGGUCAUAGUGAUCCGGUGGUUCUGAAUGGAAGGGCCAUCGCUCAACGGAUAAAAGGUACUCCGGGGAUAACAGGCUGAUACCGCCCAAGAGUUCAUAUCGACGGCGGUGUUUGGCACCUCGAUGUCGGCUCAUCACAUCCUGGGGCUGAAGUAGGUCCCAAGGGUAUGGCUGUUCGCCAUUUAAAGUGGUACGCGAGCUGGGUUUAGAACGUCGUGAGACAGUUCGGUCCCUAUCUGCCGUGGGCGCUGGAGAACUGAGGGGGGCUGCUCCUAGUACGAGAGGACCGGAGUGGACGCAUCACUGGUGUUCGGGUUGUCAUGCCAAUGGCACUGCCCGGUAGCUAAAUGCGGAAGAGAUAAGUGCUGAAAGCAUCUAAGCACGAAACUUGCCCCGAGAUGAGUUCUCCCUGAGACUUAGAGUCUCCUGAAGGAACGUUGAAGACGACGACGUUGAUAGGCCGGGUGUGUAAGCGCAGCGAUGCGUUGAGCUAACCGGUACUAAUGAACCGUGAGGCUUAACCUU
Molecule: ribosomal RNA, 2992 nt
Filed under: Salmonella enterica subsp. enterica serovar Paratyphi B str. CFSAN000541
Lineage: Bacteria; Pseudomonadati; Pseudomonadota; Gammaproteobacteria; Enterobacterales; Enterobacteriaceae
Description: 23S ribosomal RNA
Rfam family: Bacterial large subunit ribosomal RNA
Source: RNAcentral